RNA transcript from Polyodon spathula (Mississippi paddlefish), 1844 nucleotides. It is a transcript of the gene named polyadenylate-binding protein 2-B-like, with no coding region annotated. The record is from RefSeq and is a predicted model, not a curated record. NCBI's taxonomy places the organism in Eukaryota, Metazoa, Chordata, Actinopteri, Acipenseriformes, Polyodontidae. The transcript has 8 exons.
CUAAAAAUGGUCUGUCCCUAGCAGAGGGUACUAUUUUUUUUUAUGCCGAACACAAAACACAUGUGUCAAUGCAGGUGAACGUGCAGCUGUCAACUUUAAUUAAAAGACCCUGAUGGCAUUAAUAAAAACUCGACCGGCGACUUGUCCUGCCCCUAAUUUUACGGAUAGGGCAUCCUAGUUCCAAUCAGGAGGUUAUCAGAAGCCCCGGGUUGAGGGGCCUUGUUGAAGAAACGCAUCCGGGGGCUAGAGUAAGCGGGGUUUCAGUUUGGAGUCGUGAUAUGGCGGACAAUAGGCAUUAUGCUGACGAAGGGCUCGGUCUUCUGGAAGGGGAGUUUACGGGGGGCCAUAAUGUUGAAGACCCCGAGUUGGAGGCCAUCAAAGCCAGGGUUCGUGAAAUGGAGGAAGAAGCAGAGAAACUGAAAGAAGUACAGUAUGAAACUGAGAAACAUCUGAUAAUGAGCCCACAAGCAAGCGGUGUGUUCUACCCAAUGACUGCUGAAGAGAAGGUGGAUGCUGAUAACAGAUCGGUCUAUGUGGGCAAUGUGGAUUAUGGAUCGACUGCAGAUGAGCUGGAAAUUCACUUCAACGGCUGUGGUCCAGUCAAUCGUGUGACAAUUCUGUGUGACAAAUUCUCCGGACAUCCUAAGGGGUUUGCAUACAUUGAGUUUUCAGACCGGGACUCUGUGAAGACAGCCAUGGCUCUGGAUGAGACACUGUUUAGGGGUAGAAUCAUAAAGGUGCUUCCAAAAAGGACCAACAUGCCUGGGAUCAGCUCCACGGACAGGGGGAGUCAAAGGGGUGGGCGCUUGAGGGGGCGGGGCUUCCGCUCCUCCAGAUACAACAGCAGCGGCUACCAGCCAAGACAGCGGGGCCGCUCCUUCAGGUCAGCAUUGCCACAGUCGGGGGCUCGGGUGUCCACAUGAGGAAAAAGGACACAGGUAAAUCCUGCAGGUCCUGACCAAGCCUUUCAAAAGGGGAGGUGGAAGAAUCCCAACUUGGUAUUCUCCUUAUUAAAUAAAUUUAAAAUGGAAAAAUAAAAUGAAAAUAAAGAGAAAUGUGGAUGUGAAGAUAACAUUGCUAUGGUUCAUUUAUUUUACUGUGUUGUACAUUUUCAGAACUACUGUUAAUUUUUUGGCAUGUUUGCAGGAGCAAGUCUACCACAAUUGAAACUGUUUCUUUAGCAGAAUGGGAUUGGGGGCUGCCUGCUGUUGCAGCAUAGCACGCUUUUUCUGUAGAUAACUGUACAAUCGUAUGCCAAAUCAAAGACUGCAUAUGAUAUAUUUCUUUUUUUGGAGAGGGAGGGGUUCAAACUGCUAUCAGUAGCCAAUGCUAGUUUAAAUAUGUUUCUGUACUGUAACGAAUUGCGGUUGUACGAGAAUGUUUUGUCGUUUGUAUAUAUUACAUAUUAAAGGCUUUGUUUUAUUACAAAAAUUUUAACUUUCUGUAAUAAAAUAUACAUACUAAUGAUGGGCUACUACUGUAAUAUUGCUGGGGUGUUACUUUUGUUUGUGUCUAGUCAGAGGUAACCUGCAUAGAGACUGAAUUACUGAUUUGAUAUGCACAUUUUUUCCAGCAAAGAGUUUAGAAUUUUUUUUUUUUGGGACCAGAUUUAUCUUUUCCAAGAUUACUUAAUAACAAUUUAGAAUGCUGUCAGUCCCUUUCAUUAUGGAGAUAUAUUAGCCUAUUAGGACACAUUUCCUUUUGGUGGUCAUAAUGUAAAGAUCUUACUGUAAUUAACAUGUGGUUUGUUAAAGGAUAACUUCAGCUGACAAACAAUCUGUACCUAUUUAACUCUGACCCAAUAAAACCACAGUAUUUAAAAUAAAAUUACCUUGGUUAAUGGA